Molecule: long non-coding RNA, 224 nt
Filed under: Dasypus novemcinctus (nine-banded armadillo)
Lineage: Eukaryota; Metazoa; Chordata; Mammalia; Cingulata; Dasypodidae
Description: lncRNA (ENSDNOG00000050259.1)
Source: RNAcentral
GAAUCUGAUAAGUUGUUGUUAAUUGGCCUACCAGCAGAAGAGAUCCCUCUUCCUCACCUACGGAAUAGGAUAGAAGAUGUUGCCCAAACCUUAAGAUUUAUGUAUGGUUCUUUAGAAAGGUAAGUGCCUCUUGUAAUUGAACUGCAAGCUUCAAGUAUCUGAUUCUAAAUCUCCUUUUCCACUUCAUCCUAGUCCUUGCUUGGCAAGAGAGUCAUUUGUUCAUU